AUUGAACGCUGGCGGCAGGCCUAACACAUGCAAGUCGAGCGGAUGAAGGGAGCUUGCUCCUGGAUUCAGCGGCGGACGGGUGAGUAAUGCCUAGGAAUCUGCCUGGUAGUGGGGGAUAACGUCCGGAAACGGGCGCUAAUACCGCAUACGUCCUGAGGGAGAAAGUGGGGGAUCUUCGGACCUCACGCUAUCAGAUGAGCCUAGGUCGGAUUAGCUAGUUGGUGGGGUAAAGGCCUACCAAGGCGACGAUCCGUAACUGGUCUGAGAGGAUGAUCAGUCACACUGGAACUGAGACACGGUCCAGACUCCUACGGGAGGCAGCAGUGGGGAAUAUUGGACAAAGGGCGAAAGCCUGAUCCAGCCAUGCCGCGUGUGUGAAGAAGGUCUUCGGAUUGUAAAGCACUUUAAGUUGGGAGGAAGGGCAGUAAGUUAAUACCUUGCUGUUUUGAUGUUACCAACAGAAUAAGCACCGGCUAACUUCGUG
RNAcentral lists this ribosomal RNA (484 nucleotides) under uncultured bacterium. RNAcentral describes it as "partial 16S ribosomal RNA". It matches the Rfam family "Bacterial small subunit ribosomal RNA", at positions 30 to 507 of the family's 1533-position model. The record is from RNAcentral.